Molecule: ribosomal RNA, 791 nt
Filed under: uncultured bacterium
Lineage: Bacteria
Description: bacterial SSU rRNA
Rfam family: Bacterial small subunit ribosomal RNA
Source: RNAcentral
AGAGUUUGAUCCUGGCUCAGAUUGAACGCUGGCGGCAUGCUUUACACAUGCAAGUCGAACGGUAACAGGCCGCAAGGUGCUGACGAGUGGCGAACGGGUGAGUAAUGCAUCGGAACGUGCCCAGUCGUGGGGGAUAACGCAGCGAAAGCUGCGCUAAUACCGCAUACGAUCUAUGGAUGAAAGCGGGGGACCGUAAGGCCUCGCGCGAUUGGAGCGGCCGAUGUCAGAUUAGGUAGUUGGUGGGGUAAAGGCUCACCAAGCCGACGAUCUGUAGCUGGUCUGAGAGGACGACCAGCCACACUGGGACUGAGACACGGCCCAGACUCCUACGGGAGGCAGCAGUGGGGAAUUUUGGACAAUGGGCGCAAGCCUGAUCCAGCAAUGCCGCGUGCAGGAAGAAGGCCUUCGGGUUGUAAACUGCUUUUGUACGGAACGAAACGGUCCUGGUUAAUACCUGGGGCUAAUGACGGUACCGUAAGAAUAAGCACCGGCUAACUACGUGCCAGCAGCCGCGGUAAUACGUAGGGUGCAAGCGUUAAUCGGAAUUACUGGGCGUAAAGCGUGCGCAGGCGGUUUUGUAAGACAGGCGUGAAAUCCCCGGGCUUAACCUGGGAAUUGCGCUUGUGACUGCAAGGCUGGAGUGCGGCAGAGGGGGAUGGAAUUCCGCGUGUAGCAGUGAAAUGCGUAGAUAUGCGGAGGAACACCGAUGGCGAAGGCAAUCCCCUGGGCCUGCACUGACGCUCAUGCACGAAAGCGUGGGGAGCAAACAGGAUUAGAUACCCCGGUAGUCC